The sequence is a small RNA, 45 nucleotides long. It matches the Rfam family "Acido-Lenti-1 RNA". The record is from Rfam.
CCCAGCGCUGCGCGCUGGGCUGAUGUCUUGCGCUCUUGCAGAGCU